GUGNUCUCUUCAGCAACACAUAUAGUGAAAUUAGAAUGAUACAGAGAAGAUUAACAUGGCCCCUGUGCAUGGAUGACAUGCAAACUUGUGGAGUGUUCAAAAUAAAU
RNAcentral lists this small nuclear RNA (107 nucleotides) under Salvator merianae (Argentine black and white tegu). Lineage: Eukaryota; Metazoa; Chordata; Lepidosauria; Squamata; Teiidae. The record is from RNAcentral.